This 292-nucleotide ribosomal RNA is filed under the name uncultured bacterium. RNAcentral describes it as "partial 16S ribosomal RNA". It matches the Rfam family "Bacterial small subunit ribosomal RNA", at positions 505 to 796 of the family's 1533-position model. The record is from RNAcentral.
GUGCCAGCAGCCGCGGUAAUACGUAGGCAGCAAGCGUUGUUCGGAGUUACUGGGCGUAAAGGGUGUGUAGGCGGCCUGUUAAGUUCCGUGUGAAAUCUCCCGGCUCAACCGGGAGGGUGCGCGGAAAACUGGCGGGCUAGAGUGCGGGAUGGGAGAGUAGAAUUCCUGGUGUAGCGGUGAAAUGCGUAGAUAUCAGGAGGAAUACCGGUGGUGUAGACGGCUCUCUGGACCGCAACUGACGCUGAAACACGAAAGCGUGGGUAGCAAACAGGAUUAGAUACCCUGGUAGUCC